UAUGGCGAGACCCACGGGGCACUGACGGAGGAGGGGAAGUGUCUGGGUAGAGCGUCUGGGGAGUUUGAGUAUUGUGGAUCCGACCCUGCACAUCCGGUUACAAGCAUCUACGGUCCAACAGGCGGCAUAAGACAUGCUGGAGGCGGGUGCUGGAUCAAGAUCUCGUCCUGUCCCUCUAACACCAACCUGACUGGCUUCUUCUACGACGCCUGGGGUGCAACCAACCUUGACACAGAUCAUGAGCGCAAUGAGUGUUUGGCCCGAGUUGACCACUUCUGGCAACGAUGUGGGUCCCAUCGAGAAUUCCCUGUCACAGCCUACUACAAACCGAGGGCAGUGUCUAAUACUGUACACUGAAUACAUAUGUAUCGUAUGAAAAUAUAAGGGUAUAGGACUCGUCUCUAUUUGCGCUUAAAUAUAU
Haliotis rubra (blacklip abalone) is the source of this 421-nucleotide long non-coding RNA. RefSeq lists it as uncharacterized. The transcript has 3 exons. Lineage: Eukaryota; Metazoa; Mollusca; Gastropoda; Lepetellida; Haliotidae. The record is from RefSeq and is a predicted model, not a curated record.